Molecule: long non-coding RNA, 763 nt
Organism: Mus caroli (Ryukyu mouse)
Lineage: Eukaryota; Metazoa; Chordata; Mammalia; Rodentia; Muridae
Source: RefSeq, a predicted model, not a curated record
GAAACUUCUCUAAUGAUGGGUGAAGAGGGCACUGAUCUAUCCCUGCUCACAAACGAUGCAUCAUCCUCACCUGCAACAGGGGUGGCUAUUGGCUCACUGCUCUGUACCUCAAAAGGAAUUGCAUCCUGAAAAUGGCUGUGCACAAGGGAUGCACUGUAUUCUAGGAGACAAUCAACGGCCUGAUGGAAGAUUACAAGGUUACUUCUCCAUGAACACUGCCCCUGUGAUGUCUGAUUAUCGACAGACAUGCCACCCUCAAUGAAGAUGCACCAUCUUCUGUUCCCUUCAGCAUGCACUCUGGUACAGCUUAAAUGCAGAGAAUACAAUGGAGAAGAUCAGAACUCAGGGUACCAGUCUUGGACUAGUCAGAUGAUGGUACCAUUAUAAGGGAGUGGAGAUGAUAAAUAACUUUCAGUAAAAUACCAACAAGAAGAUUGGGAGAAAGCAGUUACGUCUCUCCAACCCUUACAAAGCUUUACACUUAACCUAUGAUUGCUAUUUAAAAGCCCCAAGGCUUAACAAACUGAUGUGACAGUAAAUGACAAGGUGGGACACGAGCCCCGACUUGCGAUUCUCUAAAGCUCAAGCCACUCAGUCUCUGAGGACUCCCUUUGUGGUGAAUGGUAAGUGGAUGAUGGCUAUGCAAAUUGCCCUCCCAUAAUUUAAGGAUUCCCACAUAACUCCACAGGUAGCUCACAACUUUUCUUCUGGUUAUUGGAGACAAUAAUGACUUUACCAUUUUAAAGGAGUCCACAUUUUUUCU